Acanthosepion pharaonis is the source of this 99-nucleotide non-coding RNA. The record is from the annotation of a GenBank genome assembly. Lineage: Eukaryota; Metazoa; Mollusca; Cephalopoda; Sepiida; Sepiidae.
CAGUAAAACACCAGUUCCCAUAGGAUCACCAAAGUUAAGCAACGUCAAGUCUGAUCACUACCUCAGUGGGUGACCACUUGAGAAUACCAGGUGCUGUAA